This 254-nucleotide ribosomal RNA is filed under the name uncultured bacterium. Its description in RNAcentral is "partial 16S ribosomal RNA". It matches the Rfam family "Bacterial small subunit ribosomal RNA", at positions 524 to 777 of the family's 1533-position model. The record is from RNAcentral.
UACGAAGGGGGCUAGCGUUGCUCGGAAUCACUGGGCGUAAAGGGUGCGUAGGCGGGUCUUUAAGUCAGAGGUGAAAUCCUGGAGCUCAACUCCAGAACUGCCUUUGAUACUGAGGAUCUUGAGUAUGGGAGAGGUGAGUGGAACUGCGAGUGUAGAGGUGAAAUUCGUAGAUAUUCGCAAGAACACCAGUGGCGAAGGCGGCUCACUGGCCCAUUACUGACGCUGAGGCACGAAAGCGUGGGGAGCAAACGGGG